UAAGGCAAGUGGAUGGUCGCUGGUUUUAACUUGGCAACAGGUUUGAAAAUUAGAGGAAAGUCCGGACUCUUGCGAGGAAAAAUAUCAGUUAAUGGCUGACCAGAAUUUUGAAUAAAAUAGAAAUUCUGAGGGAAAGUGUCACAGAAAAUAUACCGCUCCGCUUACGCUUACGCUACAGCGCGACAGGCCAACUUAAACGAAGCUUGCUGCGCUGUAGCGAAGCGAAAGCGAGUAAGGUCGAAACCGCGAGGUAAGAGCUCACGCGCUUGCAUGGUAACAUGCAUUUGGAUAAACCCUAUUUAGAGCAAGACCAAAUAGGAGUGGCAAGUUUCUUCAAUGAAACAGAUGUCCUCGCCAUCGUCACUCGGGUAGGUUGCUUGAGGUUAGCGGCGACGCUAAUCCUAGAUGAAUGACUGUCGUCCGCUUACGCGAAAGCUACAGCGCGAUACAAAAUCCGGCUUAUAGCUUGCCUUACUUA
Molecule: RNase P RNA, 478 nt
Filed under: Rickettsiales bacterium
Lineage: Bacteria; Pseudomonadati; Pseudomonadota; Alphaproteobacteria; Rickettsiales
Description: RNase P RNA component class A
Rfam family: Bacterial RNase P class A
About the family: Ribonuclease P (RNase P) is a ubiquitous endoribonuclease, found in archaea, bacteria and eukarya as well as chloroplasts and mitochondria. Its best characterised activity is the generation of mature 5'-ends of tRNAs by cleaving the 5'-leader elements of precursor-tRNAs. Cellular RNase Ps are ribonucleoproteins.
Source: RNAcentral